GGAAACUGGUGCUAAUACCGGAUGCGCCGAGAGGUGAAACAUUUAUGGCCUAGGGAUGAGCUCGCGACUGAUUAGCUAGUUGGUGGGGUAAGGGCCUACCAAGGCAAUGAUCAGUAGCUGGUCUGAGAGGAUGAUCAGCCACACUGGGACUGAGACACGGCCCAGACUCCUACGGGAGGCAGCAGUGGGGAAUUUUCCGCAAUGGGGGCAACCCUGACGGAGCAACGCCGCGUGAGGGAAGAAUGGUUGUGGCCAGUAAACCUCUUUUAAUAGGGAAGAAUAAUGACGGUACCUAUUGAAUAAGCAUCGGCUAACUCCGUGCCAGCAGCCGCGGUAAUACGGAGGAUGCAAGCGUUAUCCGGAAUUAUUGGGCGUAAAGGGUCCGCAGGUGGUUAGUCAAGUCAGCUGUAAAAUACUCAGGCUCAACUUGGGGCGUGCAGUUGAAACUGAUUGACUAGAGUACGGAAGGGGUAGAGGGAAUUCCUAGUGUAGCGGUGAAAUGCGUAGAUAUUAGGAAGAACACCAGUGGCGAAAGCGCUCUACUGGACCUGUACUGACACUGAGGGACGAAAGCUAGGGGAGCGAAAGGGAUUAGAUACCCCUGUAGUC
RNAcentral lists this ribosomal RNA (609 nucleotides) under uncultured Myxosarcina sp. RNAcentral describes it as "bacterial SSU rRNA". It matches the Rfam family "Bacterial small subunit ribosomal RNA", at positions 152 to 795 of the family's 1533-position model. The record is from RNAcentral. Lineage: Bacteria; Bacillati; Cyanobacteriota; Cyanophyceae; Pleurocapsales; Pleurocapsaceae.